RNAcentral lists this ribosomal RNA (507 nucleotides) under uncultured bacterium. RNAcentral describes it as "bacterial SSU rRNA". It matches the Rfam family "Bacterial small subunit ribosomal RNA", at positions 21 to 521 of the family's 1533-position model. The record is from RNAcentral.
GGCUCAGGAUGAAUGCUGGCGGCGUGCUUAACACAUGCAAGUCGAACGGGCUCAUAUUGAAACCUAGUGAUUUAUGAGUUAGUGGCGGACGGGUGAGUAACGCGUGGAAAACCUGCCGUAUACUGGGGGAUAACACUUAGAAAUAGGUGCUAAUACCGCAUAAGCGCACAGCUUCGCAUGAAGUGGUGUGAAAAACUCCGGUGGUAUACGAUGGUUCCGCGUCUGAUUAGCUUGUUGGCGGGGUAAUGGCUCACCAAGGCGACGAUCAGUAGCCGGCCUGAGAGGGUGAACGGCCACAUUGGGACUGAGACACGGCCCAAACUCCUACGGGAGGCAGCAGUGGGGAAUAUUGCACAAUGGGGGAAACCCUGAUGCAGCGACGCCGCGUGAGUGAAGAAGUAUUUCGGUAUGUAAAGCUCUAUCAGCAGGGAAGAAAUAGCGACCUUUGGGUCGCCAGACGGUACCUGAUUAAGAAGCCCCGGCUAACUACGUGCCAGCAGCCGCGGU